UGGUCCUGACCUGACCUGUAUGUACCUGGUCCUGACCUGUAUGUACCUGGUCCUGACCUGUACGUACCUGGUCCUGACCUGUUUGUACCUGGUCCUGACCUGUAUGUACCUGGUCCUAACCUGACCUGUAUGUACCUGGUCCUAACCUGUAUGUACCUGGUCCUGACCUGUAUGUACCUGGUCCUGACCUGUAUGUACCUGGUCCUGACCUGUUUGUACCUGGUCCUGACCUGUAUGUACCUGGUCCUGACCUGUUUGUACCUGGUCCUGACCUGUUUGUACCUGGUCCUGACCUGUAUGUACCUGGUCCUGACCUGUAUGUACCUGGUCCUAACCUGACCUGUAUGUACCUGGUACUGACCUGUAUGUACCUGGUCCUGACCUGUAUGUACCUGGUCCUGACCUGUUUGUACCUGGUCCUGACCUGUAUGUACCUGGUCCUGACCUGUAUGUACCUGGUCCUGACCUGACCUGUAUGUACCUGGUCCUGACCUGUUUGUACCUGGUCCUGACCUGACCUGUUUGUACCUGGUCCUGACCUGUUUGUACCUGGUCCUGACCUGUAUGUACCUGGUCCUCACCUGUUUGUACCUGGUCCUGACCUGACCUGUAUGUACCUGGUCCUGACCUGUAUGUACCUGGUCCUGACCUGUAUGUACCUGGUCCUGACCUGUAUGUACCUGGUCCUAACCUGACCUGUAUGUACCUGGUCCUGACCUGUAUGUACCUGGUCCUGAUCUGUAUGUACCUGGUCCUGACCUGUAUGUACCUGGUCCUGACCUGUAUGUACCUGGUCCUAACCUGACCUGUAUGUACCUGGUCCUGACCUGUAUGUACCUGGUCCUAACCUGUUUGUACCUGGUCCUGACCUGUAUGUACCUGGUCCUAACCUGACCUGUAUGUACCUGGUCCUGACCUGUUUGUACCUGGUCCUGACCUGUAUGUACCUGGUCCUGACCUGUAUGUACCUGGUCCUGACCUGUAUGUACCUGGUCCUGACCUGACCUGUAUGUACCUGGUUCUGACCUGUACGUACCUGGUCCUGACCUGACCUGUAUGUACCUGGUCCUGACCUGUAUGUACCUGGUCCUAACCUGGCCUGUAUGUACCUGGUCCCGACCAGGUGGUUUAGUUUAAUGACCAGGUGGUUUAGUUUAAUGACCAGGUGGUGGCUAGUUUAACGACCAGGUGGUGGCUAGUUUAAUGACCAGGUGGUUUAGUUUAAUGACCAGGUGGUGGCUAGUUUAAUGACCAGGUGGUGGCUAGUUUAAUGACCAGGUGGUGGCUAGUUUAAUGACCAGGUGGUUUAGUUUAAUGACCAGGUGGUGGCUAGUUUAAUGACCAGGUGGUGGCUAGUUUAAUGACCAGGUAGUGGCUAGUAUAACAACAGGUGAGUUACCCUUAUGACCCUCUACGAUAGACAUUCAGUUGUUCAGCUAGGGAGGAAUGCGUCACAAAUGGUACCCUAUAUAGUGCAGUACUUUUGACAAGGGCCCAUAGGUAGUGCACUAUGUAGGGAAUAGGGUGCCAUUUGGGAAUCCCUCAAGAGAUGUCCACAGGACACAGUGGAGUCAGUGCAGAACCAGUUCCUGAUUAUCGUGUGUAUAAUGUGUGUAUAAACAUGUAUAAACUGCUUAAUAAACAUGUAUAAACUGCUUAAUAAACAUGUAUAAACUGCUUAAUAAACAUGUAUAAACUGCUUACUAAACAUGUGUAAACUGCUUAAUAAACAUGUAUAAACUGCUUAAUAAACAUGUAUAAACUGCUUAAUAAACAUGUGUAAACAGCUUACUAAACAUGUAUAAACUGCUUAAUAAACAUGUAUAAACUGCUUAAUAAACAUGUAUAAACAGCUUACUAAACAUGUAUAAACUGCUUACUAAACAUGUAUAAACUGCUUACUAAACAUGUAUAAACUGCUUAAUAAACAUGUGUAAACUGCUUAAUAAACAUGUAUAAACUUAUAAUAACAGUCAUGGUUGAGUAGUUGACUUUAAAGGACCCAGAGAGUUACAUAGACAGAGGACCUUCAGUAUGCUGGACAACACUGGAAACAUGUUGGGCUCAAUAUACAUCAUCAUGGUAUAUUAUCUUAUAUAGUAAGUUAUCUUAUGUUAUACGCUUUGUAACAGAGCACCAUUACGUUUUAGUACUUUUUUCAAAGCUGGCUGGUUUGUUUACAAGUUCAUAUCAAGAGUGCUGGAGAUUCAGCCCGACUUUAAAAUAACACAGAAUCUAAGUGCUACAUUUCCUGAAAGCCCCGUAAAUGUAAACAUGUAUACAGAUGAACAUAAUAAACUGUCCAUAGCUGGUAAUAUUACAAGAGGCAAUAGUAUCAAAACAUUCCACCAAAAAGACUUGAAAGAGUAUUAAACAGUUUUAAAUAAUUCAUAUUAAAUAGUUAUCCUUCAGCAUCUUUUAGUGAUGUCGUUUUUUUUUUGAUCAAUUUAUAAUUCCUUGAAAGAAUCCUAGAUAUUUUUUUUUUAGAUCCGACAAAAUAUUUAAUUCAUGGUUUCCUCUAUUACAGUGGUCGCCAACCUUUUUUCAGAGUCAAAAUGCAAGCUGAGAUCAACCGUAAGCCUAUGCAACAUUAACCAAUUUAAAAACAGUUCUGGAUCAAUGAACCUCAUUCAUGAACCUCAUUGAUCCAGAACUGUUUUUUAAUUGGUUAAUGUACAGUAGUAAGCUAUAGGCUCAAUACAUUAUCACUGUAUACUGGCUAUGCUUGACUUGCCCUGCCAAUGUUAUUCUUCUGGGACCAUUUUGACAUUUUAUAUAUAAAAUGUUGGUAUAUGAUCAAACUGGUAAUAGAUCAUUUGUUGUAUCACUUGUGAGGUUACAGCUGACUGAGCAUAAUCAUAUAAUUUUUUUUUUUUAUUGGACUGAUGACCUGCAUCUGAUGGUUAGUCUGAGAGGAGGGAGGGAGA
RNAcentral lists this long non-coding RNA (2927 nucleotides) under Salmo salar (Atlantic salmon). RNAcentral describes it as "lncRNA (ENSSSAG00000088269.1)". Lineage: Eukaryota; Metazoa; Chordata; Actinopteri; Salmoniformes; Salmonidae. The record is from RNAcentral.